RNAcentral lists this ribosomal RNA (523 nucleotides) under uncultured bacterium. Its description in RNAcentral is "bacterial SSU rRNA". It matches the Rfam family "Bacterial small subunit ribosomal RNA", at positions 956 to 1457 of the family's 1533-position model. The record is from RNAcentral.
GCAACGCGCAGAACCUUACCCAGCCCUUGACCAUGUGACUUCGCCCGGAUCCAGAGAUUGGAGCCCUUCGGUUUCGGCCCGGAGUUCAGCCACCAGGUGCUGCAUGGCUGUCGUCAGGCUCGUGUCGUGAGAUGUUGGGUUAAGUCCCGCAAUCGAGCGCAACCCUCGUCUCCCAGUUGCCCAUCAGGUUAUGCUGGGCACUUUGGAGAAACUGCCGGUGACAAGCCGGAGGAAGGUGGGGAUGACGUCAAGUCCUCAUGGCCCUUACGGGCUGGGCUACACACGUGCUACAAUGGCGGUGACAGUGGGAUGCGAAGGGGCGACCCGGAGCCGAUCCCCAAAAACCGUCCCAGUUCGGAUUGCACUCUGCAACUCGAGUGCAUGAAGUUGGAAUCGCUAGUAAUCGCGGAUCAGCAUGCCGCGGUGAAUACGUUCCCGGGCCCUUGUAACAGCACCGCCCGUCACGCCAUGGGAGGUUGGUUCUACCCGAAAACGGUGCGCUAACCGCAAGGGGGCAGCCGGU